UGGGGAAUUUUGGACAAUGGGGGCAACCCUGAUCCAGCAAUGCCGCGUGAGUGAAGAAGGCCUUCGGGUUGUAAAGCUCUUUUGUCCGGAACGAAACGACUUGGGAUAAUACCCUGGGUUAAUGACGGUACCGGAAGAAUAAGCACCGGCUAACUACGUGCCAGCAGCCGCGGUAAUACGUAGGGUGCGAGCGUUAAUCGGAAUUACUGGGCGUAAAGCGUGCGCAGGCGGUUGUGCAAGACAGAUGUGAAAUCCCCGGGCUUAACCUGGGAAUGGCAUUUGUGACUGCACGGCUAGAGUGUGUCAGAGGGGGGUAGAAUUCCACGUGUAGCAGUGAAAUGCGUAGAUAUGUGGAGGAAUACCGAUGGCGAAGGCAGCCCCCUGGGAUAACACUGACGCUCAUGCACGAAAGCGUGGGGAGCAAACAGGAUUAGAUACCCCCGUAGUCC
This 449-nucleotide ribosomal RNA is filed under the name uncultured bacterium. Its description in RNAcentral is "bacterial SSU rRNA". It matches the Rfam family "Bacterial small subunit ribosomal RNA", at positions 355 to 796 of the family's 1533-position model. The record is from RNAcentral.